Molecule: long non-coding RNA, 601 nt
Filed under: Bos indicus x Bos taurus (hybrid cattle)
Lineage: Eukaryota; Metazoa; Chordata; Mammalia; Artiodactyla; Bovidae
Description: lncRNA (ENSBIXG00000004298.1)
Source: RNAcentral
UUGUGUUUAAAAGAGAAAACACAUUAUUCUGUUCCCUUUCUAAACUAAUGGAUAGUGAUUCUUUUAAAAAUUUACAAGGUUUUUUUUUUUUUUUUUUUUUGCAACAGCUAAUCAUCACUUGAUAAAAAAGCACAAGCAAACAGACUGAUGUCUCUGUAAGGCUCCAGUUUCACUUGGUUCUGAAAGGACUUAAGAAGCUCUACUUAGAGAUCAAAGAGGUGGACUACACUAAUAAGCAGGAGGAGAGGAGAUAGGAAAUGAAUAAUUAAGAUGGAUUUAUCAGAAACAAGGAGAUCAUAUUGAAAUGUAUUCCUGGAGCACCGGGGCUUCACUGACCUCUCUGCUGUGGCUGGAGUCAAUGGUGAUUUCGCAUCACAGCACACCAAGCUUCUCUCCACUGUGUUGGCUGUCUUUGGGAAAACAGAAGGCCCUCCUGAAGAUGGUGAAACUGUCCCUUGUCUCUCAGUAAGUUCCCUUGAUCUUGCCUCUUUGUCUUGAUUUGGACUUUAUGUUGAAUCAUCUAUUUUCCCAUGCUCUUCCUAAUUAAUUUGCUAGGCUAAAUUAGUGCCAAAUAAAUAAUGAGUUUCCAAAUUAACUGACA